AGUACGUGAAACCGCUGAGAGGCAAACUGGUGGAGCUGAAAUGGCUUAGAGGAAUUCAGCCGUUGGUUUCGUCAUAAUCAGUGUUGUAUCUGAUCUCACGACAGUGCAGCCGGUUAACGGCGUUGCCAUAGGUGCACUUUCCUCUUUAGCCCAACCACGACCGGUAUGCACUUGAUUGUCCAUCCUAUCUGGAAGGUAGCGCCGGCUUCGGUCAGCGUAUUAUAGACAGAUUUAUGGAGCGAUUGGUGUACUGGAACAUAAUGCCUGCCUUCAUGGCUCAUACGUUGGUUGUUUUGUGAAUGUAUUCUGAUUUCACUACUUCGGUAGGGGAGUUGGAGUCAUUCGCUUUACAGUUGGCCUCUGUGAUUGGCAUUGAUAUAGUCUGUGGUUGUGAAGUAGGUAGUCCACCUGACCCGUCUUGAAACACGGACCAAGGAGUCUAACAUGUGCGCGAGUCAUUGGGUUCUACGAAACCUAGAGGCGCAGUGAAGGUAAAGAUUCACAUUGGUGAAUUGAGGUGGGAUAUUGGGUUACGUGCUCAAUCGCACCACCGGCCCGUUCCAUUUGUAUCUCAAAGGAGCGGAGCAAGAGCGUACACGUUGGGACCCGAAAGAUGGU
This 618-nucleotide ribosomal RNA is filed under the name Prosthiostomum acroporae. RNAcentral describes it as "eukaryotic LSU rRNA". It matches the Rfam family "Eukaryotic large subunit ribosomal RNA", at positions 394 to 827 of the family's 3401-position model. The record is from RNAcentral. Lineage: Eukaryota; Metazoa; Platyhelminthes; Polycladida; Prosthiostomidae.